GCACCAGUGGUCUAGUAGUAGAAUAGUACCCUGCCACAGUGCAGACUCGGGUUCGAUUGCCGGCUGGUGCA
Molecule: transfer RNA, 71 nt
Filed under: Arabidopsis thaliana x Arabidopsis arenosa
Lineage: Eukaryota; Viridiplantae; Streptophyta; Magnoliopsida; Brassicales; Brassicaceae
Description: tRNA-Gly
Rfam family: tRNA
About the family: Transfer RNA (tRNA) molecules are approximately 80 nucleotides in length. Their secondary structure includes four short double-helical elements and three loops (D, anti-codon, and T loops).
Source: RNAcentral